Molecule: non-coding RNA, 708 nt
Organism: Coturnix japonica (Japanese quail)
Lineage: Eukaryota; Metazoa; Chordata; Aves; Galliformes; Phasianidae
Source: RefSeq, a predicted model, not a curated record
AAGCAUUGGUUGAGCUACCCAAGGCAGUGUGGGAGAUGUUUCUUUCUGCUGGUCUCCUCCAUGCUAUGAGCAACCAAAAUCACCAGAAAUUAUCUUUCUUUUUCACAGCACUCUUCAGUGCCUAUCUGGGAGCGACAGUGACAAACAUGUUCUCUGUGUUUGGGGUGCCUCCAGGAACCUGGUCGUUCUGUUUGUCUGCACUGACCUUUCUGUUAAUGACCACAAACCACUCAGCCAUCUACAAGCUUCCACUCUCCAAAGUCACCUAUCCAGAAGCCAAUCGAGCGUAUUAUCUGAGGAUGAAGAAACAUCACAUGUCUUGCUGUGACGUAUAAAGACCCAAGAAGAGAGAUCCUUCACAAAUUGUAAGGCAAGAGCACAAGGUUCCCUCCAAAAAAAUAAAAAAACAAACAACAAAAAAAGAGUUAUUUAUGGGCUGUAAAGUAAAAAGACCAAAAACCCCCAUCAUCUUUGAAUAGAGACGUUUUCCACCACAAUUUUUUGUUCUAUCCUGAUUAGAGAAAGUCGUGCUGUGCUCGAAGGAUCUUUCCCAAGACCAACCUGUCACAACUCAAAAACACAUAUGCCUGAAAAGACACUUGUUUUAAAAAGCGGGGAAAUGACUUAAAGGUGGCAAAGAAAAUUAUAUUUGUGAAAUCUGAGUCAUUGUAAUCAGAUGUAAAGCAAUAAAGAGCAGAGCAUACCUCA